Cyprinus carpio carpio is the source of this 666-nucleotide long non-coding RNA. Lineage: Eukaryota; Metazoa; Chordata; Actinopteri; Cypriniformes; Cyprinidae. The record is from Ensembl.
AUUUUUUCAUUCAUAAAAGAGAAUGUUAUUAGAUUACAGUGACUAAGAUACUCACCUUUGUCUUUGACUGUAAUAUGUCUGAAGGGCUGCAUGGCUCUUGUUCACUUGCAGUGUCCUUGCUUUUGUCCAGCAAUGCCCUCAUAGACCAUGAAGGUUUUUCCCAGUGAUGUUGGUCCCUAAGGGCUCUGGUGGUGGUUCUCAGGGAGUGUAACAGUGUGUAACCUUGAUACUUUUGGACUUGAUCCUCAGUUUGAUGUCAGCUUUGGGACUGAUGAGGUGUGUGUGCUUGUGUGAGGUGAACUGUAUAUAGGUUAGUUAGAGAGCCAGUCAUCCUAUGCGUUCUUCGUAAUCCUUUCAUGAGUGCCUCAUUAGCCUGUGAUGGCCAAACCACAAGAGUGUUUAAUCUUAACCCCGUGAUGGCGAGGAGACCGAAUCUACUUCUGUCCAUCUUCCCAGGGGUUCAAGACUCUGAGGUCCAUAUGGCAGGACAUAGAAGUGAAGUCAGCAUUGUUUUACGAGCCUGCUGCUUUCAUUUUAGGCCAACAUGGCUACAUCUUGGAUUAUUGAUUUUUUCUAAUGAAUAUGUCUUGACUAAUGGGGGUCGUAUCCUAUUGUCCAGUCGAGAUGUGAAUGAUUGCCUUUUUUGAAGGUAGAAGUAAAAGAGAA